Molecule: long non-coding RNA, 434 nt
Filed under: Haliotis rubra (blacklip abalone)
Lineage: Eukaryota; Metazoa; Mollusca; Gastropoda; Lepetellida; Haliotidae
Description: uncharacterized LOC124266895
Source: RNAcentral
UACAGCCGCUAUUGGAACCUAAAGCAUCGGCAGCCGAAAACUUUCGGUCAUCUCCGAUAAUUUCCGCGUUUCGCCGAACAACGCCAACACUUCCUGUCGUCACAGCGAGCGAAAAAUGGCUGCCGACAGAGGAGAAGAGAAAGGUCGCCGAGUGUGCUGGGAUCUGGUGGGCGAGAUGUCUGACAGUGUGACCUCCCUACUGUUGCCGAAACUCCGUCGACAGAGAUUAUACAUGGAGUCUGACCAAUACCAAAGUCUUCCAAUGUGCCAGAGUCACCAGCUGUGAUUUUCACAGAAAGAGGUCACAGUCUGCAGAAGUGUUCAAGACUUGAGCAACAAGAUGACACAAGUUUCCUGGAUGUGUCUCACUUAGAUGAGACACCGAUCAAUCUUCCAGGAUAGAUGAGACAUUGUUUGUUGCAGCAGAGACUGAG